Long non-coding RNA from Lynx canadensis (Canada lynx), 1640 nucleotides. RefSeq lists it as uncharacterized. The record is from RefSeq and is a predicted model, not a curated record. Lineage: Eukaryota; Metazoa; Chordata; Mammalia; Carnivora; Felidae. The transcript is spliced from 2 exons.
UUUCUCUCUGUUCCUCCCCCUGCUCAUGCUCUCUCAAAGAUAAACAUUACAAAAAUAAAAUAAAAAAAUAAAAUACUAUGACACAACUCUGUGAGUUAGAGGUAUCAGUAUAUUUAAUGAAACUAGCCAUUAGUGCAAAAUGGCUUAUAAAAUGGUGAGCCAGACUGGCGUUUUUCAAACUGUGUCAUAGGAAACUUUUUCCAAAGCCACCCAGGGCCUUGCAGGAUGAGCAAGCAGACAGAGCCCUGAGAUUCUUCUUUAUCCCAUCCUCUUAUAUCAGAGCCACUCCAUGUUUUUUACAUAUUGAACUUUAACAUGCUUGCUGCUUUUGAAUUAUCAGAUGAAUUUUAAGGGUCCAUCCUGGUAAAUAUUCUAUUAUGCUAAGAUUGAAUAUUUUUAUAUUUAUAUUGAAUACAUUUGUAUAUAGAUUGUCCUUUAUUUUCUAGUCUUAGGUUGUCAAAAUCCACUCACUUUUCCAGUGAGCAUAUCAAUUCACCUAUAGCAGUAAUCUAUUCCAUUGUUGCAUUUAUUUCCCCCAAUGUGAACCUAGCGACCAGUUUCAUCUACAGUAUGACUGCCUCCUCCACAGCAGUGUUUACAACAGACCAUCUAAGUCAGAAACAUCUUUGUCUUAGAAAUGUUCAUUUCUGUGUUGAAUCUCCACACUAAUACCCAUGAUUCAAUCCUACCAACCACUUGGGAUUCCAGAUGUGACAUUUUUCUGCCUUUAUGUAUUCUCCUCCAAACAAAACAAAACAACAAAAUUUUGAUCUCUCGCUUCUUAAAAUCUGGAUAACCUGGUGUCUCUGCCUUAGUCCCUAGUUGGCAGUCAUAAAUUUUCCACCAUUCUCUGGUUUUUCUGACUUGCUUAAAAUCCAGACUCUAUAAUCUAGUUGGUAAAUCUUAAUCCUCAACUAGAUGUUUCUGUCCCAGCCCUAUGGCUGCCCAUUUUUGUUUAUUACAAGGUUGGGCUUAUGUACCUUUGGUCCAGAGGAAGGAGGACCGCGCAACUGGUGUAGCCCCAAAUUAUUGCUCCAGGGGUUCCCCUCAGGGAUGGAGGUGUUAUGGAACCUCAAAUGCCCCCAAUAGGGGCACUCCUAAUUGGCUGAGCUAGGGCAGUAAAAACCUUCAGGAAGCAGGAAGGAGACACAAGGAAUGGGAAAAAGAGGCAGGGGGAUAAAUUAGUACUUUCUAUACAAUUGCACCUAUUCCAAUGGUUGGCAAUUAGCCAGGCACUAUUUUCUAUCCUUUUAUUUAGUCAUGAACAAGGUACAUUCUACCUUAAGUAACAGUCAUUCUUAACAGAAGAUCCUUGUCACAGUUGAUAGUCCUAUCUAGAUCCUUUUGUGUCCAGCUAAGGACCUCAAUUGUAUUCUAGAACCUCCUGAGGGUCUUUGGCUGGUAGUCAUAAUUGUGGUUUCACACUGUUGUUGUUUUUAAAGGUGAAGGGGAUUAUACUGCGGAAAAAUGACUUUUCCUUCCUUUUCAAAAGCAGGGCAGUUGAUUUCUAUAAUGAGAACUUGUAAAUGCAUAGGCUUCUUUUCAACCUUUAUAUUCAAAUUUUCUGCACAUUUAAGAGUAGAAAUGCAUAAUUUCCAUAUAUAUUUACUUUUGUACGGCAUACCUUACAAAACAUUUUU